Molecule: ribosomal RNA, 641 nt
Filed under: uncultured bacterium
Lineage: Bacteria
Description: bacterial SSU rRNA
Rfam family: Bacterial small subunit ribosomal RNA (bases 1-548)
Source: RNAcentral
CCUACGGGAGGCAGCAGUGGGGAAUUUUGGACAAUGGGCGCAAGCCUGAUCCAGCAAUGCCGCGUGAGUGAAGAAGGCCUUCGGGUUGUAAAGCUCUUUUGUUCAGGGAAGAAACGGUGGAGGCUAAUAUCCUUUGCUAAUGACGGUACCUGAAGAAUAAGCACCGGCUAACUACGUGCCAGCAGCCGCGGUAAUACGUAGGGUGCAAGCGUUAAUCGGAAUUACUGGGCGUAAAGCGUGCGCAGGCGGUUUUGUAAGUUUGUCGUGAAAUCCCCGGGUCUCAACCUGGGAAUGGCGAUGAAGACUGCAAGGCUAGAAUCUGGCAGAGGGGGGUAGAAUUCCACGUGUAGCAGUGAAAUGCGUAGAGAUGUGGAGGAACACCGAUGGCGAAGGCAGCCCCCUGGGUCAAGAUUGACGCUCAUGCACGAAAGCGUGGGGAGCAAACAGGAUUAGAUACCCUGGUAGUCCACGGCCCUAAACGGAUGUCUAACUAGUUGUCGGGUUUUAAUUAACUUGGUAACGCAGCUAACGCGUGAAGUAGACCCGCCUUGGGGGAGGUACGGUCGCGAGAGUUAAAACUUAAAAUUAAGUAAGUUAGUACGGCGUGAGACGUAGCCGACGGACGACGACGAGGGAGGAGG